GAUGAACGCUAGCGGCAGGCCUAAUACAUGCAAGUCGAACGGUAAAUAGUGUAGCAAUACAUUAUGAGAGUGACGUACGGGUGCGUAACACGUAUGCAACCUACCCUUUACAGGCGGAUAGCUCGGGGAAACCCGAAUUAACCCGUCGUAGUAUAAUUGAAUGGCAUCAUUUGAUUAUUAAAACUCCGGUGGUAAAGGAUGGGCAUGCGUCUGAUUAGUUAGUUGGCGGUGUAACGGACCACCAAGACGAUGAUCAGUAGGGGAACUGAGAGGUUGAUCCCCCACACUGGCACUGAGAUACGGGCCAGACUCCUACGGGAGGCAGCAGUAGGGAAUAUUGGUCAAUGGAUGCAAGUCUGAACCAGCCAUGCCGCGUGCAGGAAGAAGGCCUUAUGGGUUGUAAACUGCUUUUGCCAGGGGAUAAAACGACUCUGCGGAGUUAAUUGAA
This 448-nucleotide ribosomal RNA is filed under the name uncultured bacterium. RNAcentral's name for it is "bacterial SSU rRNA". It matches the Rfam family "Bacterial small subunit ribosomal RNA", at positions 28 to 473 of the family's 1533-position model. The record is from RNAcentral.